CAGUGAAAUACAUUCUUACAUCUCACCUAUAUGUCAUAUCAGUGUUUCUACAUUCUUUGGUUAUGAGGAUAACUAAUUCAUAUGGCAUACAAUAAUCUAUACUUGAUAAAUAUUAUCAUCCUAGUAAUAACGUAUCGUUUGAUCGUGAACAAGUUUAAGAAUUACAUUAUAAAUUUUUUUUUAUUAAUUAGAAUGUAAUUUUAAGGACUUCAUCAUAACACAGG
Molecule: long non-coding RNA, 224 nt
Filed under: Elaeis guineensis (African oil palm)
Lineage: Eukaryota; Viridiplantae; Streptophyta; Magnoliopsida; Arecales; Arecaceae
Description: long non-coding RNA (EGUI_LNC056690)
Source: RNAcentral